Sinocyclocheilus rhinocerous is the source of this 794-nucleotide long non-coding RNA. RefSeq lists it as uncharacterized. Lineage: Eukaryota; Metazoa; Chordata; Actinopteri; Cypriniformes; Cyprinidae. The transcript is spliced from 4 exons. The record is from RefSeq and is a predicted model, not a curated record.
UGUUGUCACAGAAACCCAAGUAGGAUGGAAAUUCAAGAGGUAGAUGGAGAGAUAUCAGUCAACCUCUAUGAGACAGCCUUUGAUCCCUAUUCCCUCGCCCCAUCCCAAGAUCCAGAAGGUAAAGGAAAUCUCAGAUGCUGCCUGCCUUUCUCUGUCCAGCUAAUCAGUCCAGGUGCUUAUCCAAAAGUCUUCUCUGGAGCCUGAUAUUCUUACACACACCAAGAUUUUACAUUCAGCAUGAAGAUGCAUCUCUCUGGUGGCCGUCCUGAUGAACCUGGGGUUGUUUGAUUGGAUUCACCAUCCCAGCCUGGAGAGCAUUCUGUUCAAGACUUGCUAAAGAAACAGCCUUUGACCUCUGACCUGUGCUUAAAGGAGGACAGAGAAUAUGAGGUUUGGAAGCUCAGUAGAGCUUGAGGAAUAUUUUUUGUUUAGAUUUACAGCAUUUGAGCUCUUAAAAUUAAACUCUCACACGGACUGAAAAGCCUCCAGAGUUCUUGAUUCUAGAAGUGGCUGUAACUCGUCACUAUGUAGUGAAACUUCACAACAGAGUCGAAACAUCUGUGAUACCUCACUGUUGUUUCAGUGCGACUGCAUAAGAUGGUUAUGAAAUAGUCUGAUACUUUAAAAUGGACGCUUGGUGCCUUUAAAUAAUUCAGGAAUGUGAAUAAGUGCCGCUCGACAGAAUUUAUGAUUAUUUUUAUCUAAAAUGUUUGUUUCAGUUCAUGUGUAGCAGUCAAACAAAUUAUGUUUUUAUAUCUAGCAUGAAUUUAAAUGUACAUGUUGGAUUUAUCCUG